Molecule: ribosomal RNA, 253 nt
Filed under: uncultured bacterium
Lineage: Bacteria
Description: partial 16S ribosomal RNA
Rfam family: Bacterial small subunit ribosomal RNA
Source: RNAcentral
UACGGGGGGGGCAAGCGUUGUUCGGAAUUACUGGGCGUAAAGGGUUCGUAGGUGGCUUGUUAAGUCAGACGUGAAAUCCCUCGGCUCAACUGGGGAACUGCGUCUGAUACUGGAUGGCUUGAGUUUGGGAGAGGGAUGCGGAAUUCCAGGUGUAGCGGUGAAAUGCGUAGAUAUCUGGAGGAACACCGGUGGCGAAGGCGGCAUCCUGGACCAACACUGACACUGAGGAGCGAAAGCCAGGGGAGCAAACGGG